Molecule: long non-coding RNA, 1499 nt
Organism: Cavia porcellus (domestic guinea pig)
Lineage: Eukaryota; Metazoa; Chordata; Mammalia; Rodentia; Caviidae
Exons: 3
Source: RefSeq, a predicted model, not a curated record
UUCCUUUUAAAAAAACUGUAUGUGUUGAUAAGGGAGAAAAAGAGACUAACCUCGUACCUUGGUAUUCGACUGCUUUGACACUCUUUGAAUUUGGUACUUAACACAUCUCAAUGUAAAAAUUCUGUUCUUGAACUCCUUUAUGUGGUACUUGAGGCUCAAGCCAGAAUUUGUCAGUGUCCAAUUACUGAUUCUCUAUCCUUUUCAGCUGAAGCAAUUUGUUUGGCACUCAUUUUUUUUUUUUAAGUACUCAUGGUGCCUCUUGGAACCAGUUAACCACUAGUACCAUGAUACUACCGCAGACCACUUGGCUCUUCAAUCUUCACUGUCAAUCUUUGACUGGAUUAAGAGGCUCCUGAAGAAUUGAUGGGAUUAUGAAGGUGCCAUUCUUAUCAAUUGGUUAAUCCACUGAUGAAUUCCAAGCUGAAUGGGUUACUAGGCAGUGGGUUACAGGAAAGAGAUCAUGCAGGUAUGUCCUUGGGAACCAUAUCCCAGCCCCUUCCUCUCUGGCCCUUCUCUGCUCUUUGCUUCUGGGAUGCCAGGGGUUGAAUAGUUCUCCUCUUCUGUGCCCUUCUGCCAUCAUGAGCCGAAAGUAACCUGUCCUUUAAGAUGCAAGUAUCAGGUAUUUUGUGUGAGCAAUUAGUAAGCUGACUUGUACAAAAGCUCUGGAGCCAGUGUUAUUUUUUAAUAUCUGCCCAAGAAUUCAAAACUCAGUAUCUUAUGCUUUUUUUUAAAUUUCCCACAACACUGAAAGAAAAGUAACAGGGGUAGCCAUAAGAAUUCUUACUGCAAAGUCCUGUAAAUCAAAACUCAAGUUCGAGUUUCCUGUCUUCUGGAUACUUUUUAACGCUGCAAGAGACUUCAUCUCUUUGAUAUUUUUAAAUUCUGAAGUUGGGGUAUAAUUUGUUUUGCAGCUUUACUGGGUCAUGAAUACACCUCUGCAGAAUAUAUGAUCGAGAUCACACACUGAGAAAGAAGAGUAAGGUACAGAGCCAGCCAUGUACUGUGCUGCACAAAGAGGACACAGAGACAGAACUGUAAAGCAAGGGAUUUUCUCUGACUGAGGGACUUGAGAACAGAAAAACUUCGCUUGAAAGAGAAAGAGACUCACAGCCUCAUGGUGGUGUUGCCUGAGCUCCUGUUUGCAGGACAGAGUGUGCAUGCCUCUGAGAGUAAGGAAGUGUGUGUGAGGAGUGCCCAGCAGAGCAGGCAGAGCAGCAUGCUGACUCUGAUGAGAAAAUGGAAAUGCAGUGCAGUGAGCAGUAUGCUGUCUGCGGUUCAAUGAUGACCACAGAGCUUGACCCUCGAGUGCUGUCAAUGACCUGAAAGGUCUUUGUGAAUCCCUUUAACUGGCAGAGACCUCAUAUCCUGUCUUUAGAGAAGACACAAAACUGGAGAUCUUAUCAAACUAUCUGGCCUUUCUUAACUAAAACUAAUCCAGGUAAACAAAAUAUUUUGUACCAACAAAUUUUGUCAAAAAUGCUUUAUUUUGCAAAACAGAA